UGAUAUAUGUGAAUGAUUUGAUGAAAUCCAAUUCCAACAAGUUUUUAUCUCAAAAGUUUAUCACGCACUUUUAUCGCAAUUUUAUGUUACGAAACCAAAUCGAAACAAACCCGCACUUAAAAUCAUGGAAUUUGUGUAUGUACAAUUGAUAUCACACUAGUCCCUGUGGAUACGAUAUAACGAAAAUACUUGCUUCUGUACUUUCAUC
RNAcentral lists this long non-coding RNA (208 nucleotides) under Trifolium pratense (red clover). RNAcentral's name for it is "long non-coding RNA (TPRA_LNC006364)". Lineage: Eukaryota; Viridiplantae; Streptophyta; Magnoliopsida; Fabales; Fabaceae. The record is from RNAcentral.